AACGAACGCUGGCGGCAUGCCUAACACAUGCAAGUCGAACGAGACCUUCGGGUCUAGUGGCGCACGGGUGCGUAACGCGUGGGAACCUGCCCUUAGGUUCGGAAUAACUCCCCGAAAGGGGUGCUAAUACCGGAUAAUGUCUUCGGACCAAAGAUUUAUCGCCUUUGGAUGGGCCCGCGUUGGAUUAGCUAGUUGGUAGGGUAAAAGCCUACCAAGGCGACGAUCCAUAGCUGGUCUGAGAGGAUGAUCAGCCACACUGGGACUGAGACACGGCCCAGACUCCUACGGGAGGCAGCAGUGGGGAAUAUUGGACAAUGGGCGAAAGCCUGAUCCAGCAAUGCCGCGCGAGUGAUGAAGGCCUUAGGGUUGUAAAGCUCUUUUACCCGGGACGAUAAUGACAGUACCGGGAGAAUAAGCUCCGGCUAACUCCGUG
Molecule: ribosomal RNA, 433 nt
Filed under: uncultured bacterium
Lineage: Bacteria
Description: partial 16S ribosomal RNA
Rfam family: Bacterial small subunit ribosomal RNA
Source: RNAcentral